ACCAAUGAGGUCCAACAUUACAUGUAUGGACCUCAUAGGCGACAUCAGUAGUAUUUUGUGUCAGAAAUCUUUGUGAAGAUGAUUAUUUUUGUAUUUUAUCAAAACUACAAGCUAUCGUACUGUCUAAUCAUUACAUUUCGAUCUCACUAAUUGAAUACAUUGUUAGCAAUAAAAAAAAUUGAAAGAAAUGAAGGGGAACUUACAUUUUCACGGCUUUUUCCUGAUUUUCUGGGCAACUGCUCCUCUCUUCUGACUCGCGAUCGAAGCUGAUAUGAAGAUCACGUGAUUCGCGUUCUCGUCAGCUGAUCGGUUGGUUAUUCUUUUCGUCAGACGUUAAUAAUAUAUAUUUUAUAAUGCUAGCAUUCAUCGCUAAUUUAGGUGAAAGAGAUUGAAGUUAAACAGCGCCAGGUCGGAAUCAUAAUUAUUUUGGAAGAGUGUAUUUAUACACUCGAUCUCAUACCUGACGUAGACGGCGCUAUUCAACAAAUGCACAAUCUUCAAUAUAAAAAUAAAACAGAAAGAACGCCUUGAACACAGGCCAAAAUGCCAAACGAUUUCUCCGCGGCAUUAACAACUAUCGUAAAGGGCGCUCCAUUUAUCAAUAAAGAUGGACGCUAAGCUGUCUAUGGCGACAAAAUUUGCCGCAAAUAUUUACGAAGAAUUGUGAGAAAUGGUCUGAAAAUGCAACAAAAGAACCGCGCAGAAUAACCUGGUGUAAUGUAGGCCCUACGCACAUUACCAUCUAUGCGGCGUGGUCAUUGAGUAAUGGAACUGGAGAUGACGAUCAGGAGAUGACACUGAGGAGAUCAUUGAUGGCGGGUGAGGAGGAUAGCAGAAUGUUGCUUUGAGGUAUCCAGUGGUUAUCUUGUGGUGACAUGAGGCCAGACGUCGAUGCGUACCUGCAGCUUUACCAGGAGAAGGAAGAUGGUGUCACCAUUAUGCUCUUCUCCGUGAUUUUUUUUCACAUUUUGAUGGCGUUAUUCAGACAAAAUAACAUUUAAAGGCCUUUAGCCAGGAAUUUUAGUAGAAACACGCUCUAUAAACAAUUAUAGGGAACAGAGCGUCCAAUCUUAUCGUGACACUUUACGCAUUUCAAUAGUGAAAUUAAAGGAUAUUUUGCAUUGUUUGGAGAAUAUUAAUAACAAUUUAAGCAAAAAAAGUGUAAGCUUCCUCAUCUUUUCUCUUUUGGGAGGGGAUAACAACCCACUUUCCCCUUUUAUAUUUUUGGGCACUUUCCACCCAGGUGUAGUGAAUUGGUACUGUAUGCAGCGCUUAGAAACAUCUUAUUAAGCACUUCAUAAAUUUUGUUUGUUGUAAUAUUUUAUGUCUUUUGAUAGGGUCCACGCCAAGAUGAACUGCUCUUUUUUUUUUUACCAGUGAUGUACAAUACCUCGUUCAGACUGUCGUGCGAUCAUUUACGAAAGCCACGAUUGGCUUAUCGAACUGAUCGCAAAUUUUUUUGAAACCAUUCAAAAAUUUUCUACGAUCAAUACGAUUACCACGACUGAUGUGAUACGAUCACUAUACGAUCACUCCACGAUUAAGUACGCGGUUUGAAUCGUGGCGUAAAUCUUGACAAUGGGAACUAUAGCGUUUUAAGGCCUCCACCUUACAACUGGUUCACGUUCCGAUUUUGGAACAAAUCCAUUGCUUAUAUUCUGAUAAUGGAAUGGAAAAUAUCUUUUUAUUCGAGGUUCAAAUUAGCAUACCAAUAUAUCAAUCUUGGAUGAUUGCAAGCGUUUAUAAUUAUUUAAAGUUUUAGUUUCAAUUCGUAGCCAAUUGUGUGAUUGUUAUCUCGUCAUUUCGACUAGAUAUUCAUUUCGCUUUUAUUCUAAUAAGGAUGAUAGCAUAGUUAUAGAUUUGAAUGAAAGUGAAAUGAACAAUUUAGAACAUUUAAACAUUAAGAUGUUUCAUGUCUUAAUAUUCGCUUCAAAUUUUGCUUCCUUUUAUUCCGAAAUCGGGUCGAACACUAAUCGUAAGGUUUGGGGUGGUCUUUACGGUUUUUACUUUUUGGAGGGGAAGGUUUUCAUUUACCAUCACAGGCAUUUUGACAAUGGUGGUUCACAAAUUAAAUGCAGAUGUAUAGAACAUUUAAACAUAUGGCUCAUACCCUUACCACCUCUCGGAUAAAAAAUCAUAAAAAGGAAAAAUCUGUAAUAAAACAAACAAUAUAACAGACCUUUUUAUAAUGGGUUAUGUUUGACAUAUUCAUUCCAGGGAAGUGAAAAACAAUGCAUUUUGAACUUUUUUUUAUUAAUGAAUUAACAAAACAUUACUGAAAGUCCAGUUUGCCUAAUUUCUCGUUUGACAGUUUUGAGAUAGCAUUUUGAAGGGUAAGUCCAACCAUACAAAGAGUGGGUUUGAAUAAAUAGAGGCAAAUUCAAAUUAAUCGAAAUCAAUUUUUUUUUCAAAAUCGGAUGUAAAAUAAGAAAGCUAUGAAAUUGUGAAUUAUCGCUUUUUUCACAAAACAAUCAUAAUGUAUAUUUGUAUUUUUUUUAAUGUGAAACAGGUUAUUUCGUUUUUCUGCAGAUUUGACAAAAAACAUCUUUGUUGAAUCAAAAUAGAUUGCAACAAUGGAAAUCUCAUGCAAGAAGAAAACAAACCUUAUUUCGCAUCAUAAAGGAAAAUAUGAAUUUUAUAUUUUCAGAAUCCAUAUAAUAAUAAAAUACAAAGAAAUCUUUGGUUGGUGGCGUCAUCAGUUGCCUCAUUUGCAUACUGACCAGAAUUUCCAUAACUUUCUUAUUUUUACGUCCGAUUAUGUUAAAUUUUCACCAUUGUGGUAGGCUUAUUUCGGAAAUGCAAUAAGAAAAUCUGAAAUAUAUUAGUUCCUCUGCUAAUGAGAUUAGGGUAGAUUCUAUAAUUCUGUAUUUUGCCUGGUGGGUGUUUUAUAAAGCUGUUCAUUAGUCACGACUGACUAUACACCCAACUGGUGAACCUUUCCUGUGCCAUUGUGCUGACUUAGUAUCGGAAGAUUAUGUUCUGACCUUGGAUAAAGUCAUUCGUAACUUUAUGAAGAGCUUUAUGAAACACCCACCUUGACAGUAAAUCAUUUUGAUACACCUUA
This is a long non-coding RNA of Lytechinus pictus (painted urchin), 3064 nucleotides long. RefSeq lists it as uncharacterized. The transcript is spliced from 2 exons. The record is from RefSeq and is a predicted model, not a curated record. NCBI's taxonomy places the organism in Eukaryota, Metazoa, Echinodermata, Echinoidea, Temnopleuroida, Toxopneustidae.